AUGAAGAUCGGCCCGUAUGGCGGCCCAGGAGGUAAUCACUGGGACAUUAAUGCUCUCAAUCCGCCCAAAAGGCUUGUGAGCAUCCAGAUUUGGAGCACUGAUUCCUCCUGCGAAGGGGCCGGCGGGGUCGUCAACGGCAUCUCGUUCAGCUAUCUUGACAUGGCAGGGCAACUAAUCCCCUCGGGUCCAUGGGGCUCCCAGACCGGUAAACCCCACGUGAUUAACAUUGGUGAAGACGAGCGCCUGAUCACUGUCUACGGCACCAGCGAUGGCAAGUUUGUCACCUCGCUUAAAUUUGUCACUGACCGGGCUUCUGAUCCGUAUGGGCCAUACGGGGCACCGUCUACCAUAAGUACUUUCAGCUUCCAGGGCGGCUCCAUCCUCGCCUUCUUGGGCCGCUCCUCAGAGAAACUCAAUGCCAUCGGCGCCUACAAACUUGGGGUUUGA
Molecule: ribosomal RNA, 447 nt
Filed under: Triticum aestivum (bread wheat)
Lineage: Eukaryota; Viridiplantae; Streptophyta; Magnoliopsida; Poales; Poaceae
Description: partial small subunit ribosomal RNA
Source: RNAcentral